This is a long non-coding RNA of Vidua macroura (Pin-tailed whydah), 1494 nucleotides long. RefSeq lists it as uncharacterized. The record is from RefSeq and is a predicted model, not a curated record. NCBI's taxonomy places the organism in Eukaryota, Metazoa, Chordata, Aves, Passeriformes, Viduidae. The transcript is spliced from 3 exons.
UCUUUGUGUCCUUAUCUCUCCCGAUGCGUGUUACAUGUUGCAGCAAAGAGCAGGGGCGCUGAAGCCGAGCCCAGAAAUCCGACUGGAUUUGACGACGCCCCCGGUAAACAGCGUGGCACAAAAGUCCAUUGUGCUAUGAGAUAACUGCGGGGCUGAAUGGGGGAGGCUGUCACGGGGGGGAUUGUUGGGCCAGUCACCAUCGGAUCACAGUCGAGGCCUGAAUUCCUUUAUGGUUCAUCAGGGCCUGUUGGUACCACAGAAAGUGUCAUGAUCCUUUUUUUCACUGGGGCCAGAUGGUGUCCUUUUCUGAGGCCUUCCUAAUGCCCGGUUUUCCACAUGUAAAACUCCUGGGAAAAUGACCUAACUCACAGCUGCUUAGUGAGGCUUGAGCAGGUCUUUAGAAAGACUUCUGUCAGGAACAAGGCGGCCGUACCACUCCGGGGGAGCAGGGGGAGGCCACCAACACAAACCUACCCCUCGCCGUCUAUAUUUAAGCGGAAAUAAAAUCUCGCCCGGCCUGCGCCGGCCUGCGCGGGCCGGGCCGAGGCCGGCGGGAGAGGCACCGUCGCUGGGCAGAGAAGUGCCAGGAGGGGCCGUGGGGCCGGCAGCCGCAGCAGCCGCUUUCCCUUCCCCGGCGAGCAGAUGGCCUGAAUAAAAACAUAGAAUGUGGUCCAGAAGGGUCGGGAGAGGACAAAAAUCAGAUCUGAGUGGAAAAGAAAUGUACCAUUGAUCUCAGGGUUAGCUCACUUACUGAAAACUUUCCAGGAAUGAUAUUGAGGAACAGCCAUGUAGAAUAAAGCACUCUGUCCUCAAGACUGGUGUUCUGCAGGGAGCUUCUUUGCCAACACGGCUGCUCCAGCGCGGCAGUCGAUGCGCAGGGUUAGGGGCGCAGGAGCAGUGUGUUCUGCCCAUACCCUCCCACUGUGCACAGACCACCAGACCCAGCCUCACAGUCCCCAUAUUGCCUCUGCCACAGUGACAGGGCUUGCCAGUGUAGCAAGCACCCACUCGUGCUGAACCCAAAAACUGAGAAGUUUUUAAGGCCACCAAGCAGGCAUCAAAGAGUUACAGCUCUCAGCUGGCAUCAGCCAAGGCCAGAUUCAAAGCAGUGACCUGGAAGCAAGGGGCUCCGUAUCACCCCCAUGAGUUACCCAGCCCCCUGACACUUCACUUAUUAAAAGGCGACUCCAGGACUAUGUCAGUGCCCUUGUGCCUCUGCAGCAUCAUACUAAAAACCCACUCUUCUCGGUCUUAUAUAUUUGUAAGUCAAUUUGAUACAAUGGAACCACUCUUUUAUUGGUCAAAAUGCUUUGGUGGCUUCUAUUUAUUAUUCUAUUAAGAAUCACAUUAUUUUUGUCAACAAUUGUAUCUGUUUCAUUUUCUCAGGUCUGCUGUCACAGCACUGCUUGAAAAUUUUUGCCAAGUUUGUGCUGGAGAAUUAUACUGAGGGGAACUCUGUGUUCUCAUCAUAUUGUAACUUGGUAGAAAAUGAAA